AACGAACGCUGGCGGCGUGGAUAAGACAUGCAAGUCGAACGCUGAUUAAGCUGCAGCAAUGUAGUUUAGUCGGAGUGGCGCAAGGGUGCGUAACACGUGGGUAAUCUGCCGCGAAGACCGGGAUAACUUGCUGAAAGGCGAGCUAAUACCGGAUGUGGAAUCUGGAAGGCAUCUUUUGGAUUCUGAAGCUGGGGACUGUAACAGGCCUGGCACUUCGCGANGAGCCCGCGGCCUAUCAGCUAGUUGGUGAGGUAACGGCUCACCAAGGCUAAGACGGGUAGCUGGUCUGAGAGGACGACCAGCCUUCACUGGAACUGAGACACGGUCCAGACACCUACGGGUGGCAGCAGUCGAGAAUUUUUCACAAUGGGCGCAAGCCUGAUGGAGCGACGCCGCGUGGGGAUGAAGGGCUUCGGCUCGUAAACCCCUGUC
This 432-nucleotide ribosomal RNA is filed under the name uncultured bacterium. Its description in RNAcentral is "bacterial SSU rRNA". It matches the Rfam family "Bacterial small subunit ribosomal RNA", at positions 29 to 437 of the family's 1533-position model. The record is from RNAcentral.